CAACAGGGAUUGCCCUAGUAACGGCGAGUGAAGCGGCAACAGCUCAAAUUUGAAAUCUGGCUCUUUCAGAGUCCGAGUUGUAAUUUGCAGAGGGCGCUUUGGCUUUGGCAGCGGUCCAAGUUCCUUGGAACAGGACGUCACAGAGGGUGAGAAUCCCGUACGUGGUCGCUAGCUAUUGCCGUGUAAAGCCCCUUCGACGAGUCGAGUUGUUUGGGAAUGCAGCUCUAAAUGGGAGGUAAAUUUCUUCUAAAGCUAAAUAUUGGCCAGAGACCGAUAGCGCACAAGUAGAGUGAUCGAAAGAUGAAAAGCACUUUGGAAAGAGAGUCAAACAGCACGUGAAAUUGUUGAAAGGGAAGCGCUUGCAGCCAGACUUGCUUGCAGUUGCUCAUCCGGGCUUUUGCCCGGUGCACUCUUCUGCAGGCAGGCCAGCAUCAGUUUGGGCGGUGGGAUAAAGGUCUCUGUCAUGUACCUCUCUUCGGGGAGGCCUUAUAGGGGAGGCGACAUACCACCAGCCUAGACUGAGGUCCGCGCAUCUGCUAGGAUGCUGGCGUAAUGGCUGUAAGCGGCCCGUCUUGAAACACGGACCAAGGAGUCUAACAUCUAUGCGAGUGUUUGGGUGUCAAGCCCGAGCGCGUAAUGAAAGUGAACGGAGGUGGGAACCCGCAAGGGUGCACCAUCGACCGAUCCUGAAGUUUACGGAAGGAUUUGAGUAAGAGCAUGGCUGUUGGGACCCGAAAGAUGGUGAACUAUGCUUGAAUAGGGUGAAGCCAGAGGAAACUCUGGUGGAGGCUCGCAGCGGUUCUGACGUGCAAAUCGAUCGUCAAAUUUGGGCAUAGGGGCGAAAGACU
Molecule: ribosomal RNA, 848 nt
Filed under: Exserohilum holmii
Lineage: Eukaryota; Fungi; Ascomycota; Dothideomycetes; Pleosporales; Pleosporaceae
Description: partial 28S ribosomal RNA
Rfam family: Eukaryotic large subunit ribosomal RNA
Source: RNAcentral